Molecule: ribosomal RNA, 463 nt
Filed under: uncultured bacterium
Lineage: Bacteria
Description: partial 16S ribosomal RNA
Rfam family: Bacterial small subunit ribosomal RNA
Source: RNAcentral
CUACGGGAGGCUGCAGACGAGAAUCAUCCGCAAUGGGCGAAAGCCUGACGGUGCGACGCCGCGUGGAGGAUGAAGGCCUUCGGGUUGUAAACUCCUGUCAGGGGUUAUGAAACGCAGUCCGCGAAUACCGGGCUGCCUGACAAAGGCCCCAGAGGAAGUCAUGGCUAACUCCGUGCCAGCAGCCGCGGUAAUACGGAGAUGGCAAGCGUUGCUCGGAAUCACUGGGCAUAAAGGGCGUCUAGGCGGAUCAGUUAGUCGGAUGUGAAAUCCCCCGGCUCACCCGGGGACCUGCAUCCGAUACUGCUGGUCUUGAGGUCGAGAGGGGAGAGUGGAACUCCUGGUGGAGCGGUGAAAUGCGUAGAUAUCAGGAGGAACGCCGGUGGCGAAAGCGACUCUCUGGUUCGAUUCUGACGCUGAAGCGCGAAAGCUAGGGGAGCGAACGGGAUUAGAUACCCGUGUAGUC